Molecule: non-coding RNA, 416 nt
Organism: Pogona vitticeps (central bearded dragon)
Lineage: Eukaryota; Metazoa; Chordata; Lepidosauria; Squamata; Agamidae
Source: RefSeq, a predicted model, not a curated record
UACUAAAGAACUGUUAAGUGUUUUGUUGGCCUACUCAAAGCUGGCCAAAAAAUGGGAAGGGGGGGAUGAGAGAGGCAGCAAAAACCACUAUGAGAGCAUUUGGGAUCAGAGGCUCACACUUUUUUUUCUAAUAGGAAUCUUGUGCCAGAAAAGCUUCAGGCUGUCUUGGGUGCUAUAUGCAGAGUUGCAGAACGGAAAGUGGAAACAACAUAAAAAAUUUUGAGAAAUCAAAAAAGAGAUGCGAGCUGUUCCUUGUUUUUCAUCUUCCUACCCUUCCAUAUCUCCAAAUGGACAUCAUCUUAGAAAUUCAUCCACCAAACUAUGGAAAUCCUCACCAUGUACAAGUGUCAGAGCUCUUUUAUAAAGCUCCUAUGGGGGUACAGUACUUGGAACAAUGAGAUAUCUCAUUUCCCCCC